AUUGAACGCUGGCGGCAGGCCUAACACAUGCAAGUCGAGCGGAUGAAGGGAGCUUGCUCCUGGAUUCAGCGGCGGACGGGUGAGUAAUGCCUAGGAAUCUGCCUGGUAGUGGGGGAUAACGUCCGGAAACGGGCGCUAAUACUGCAUACGUCCUGAGGGAGAAAGUGGGGGAUCUUCGGACCUCACGCUAUCAGAUGAGUCUAGGUCGGAUUAGCUAGGUGGUGGGGUAAAGGCCUACCAAGGCGACGAUCCGUAACUGGUCUGAGAGGAUGAUCAGUCACACUGGAACUGAGACACGGUCCAGACUCCUACGGGAGGCAGCAGUGGGGAAUAUUGGACAAUGGGCGAAAGCCUGAUCCAGCCAUGCCGCGUGUGUGAAGAAGGUCUUCGGAUUGUAAAGCACUUUAAGUUGGGAGGAAGGGCAGUAAGUUAAUACCUUGCUGUUUUGACGUUACCAACAGAAUAAGCACCGGCUAACUUCGUG
RNAcentral lists this ribosomal RNA (484 nucleotides) under uncultured bacterium. Its description in RNAcentral is "partial 16S ribosomal RNA". It matches the Rfam family "Bacterial small subunit ribosomal RNA", at positions 30 to 507 of the family's 1533-position model. The record is from RNAcentral.